RNAcentral lists this microRNA precursor (61 nucleotides) under Gallus gallus (chicken). RNAcentral describes it as "Gga-Mir-338-P2_pre stem-loop". It matches the Rfam family "mir-338 microRNA precursor family", at positions 6 to 66 of the family's 69-position model. The record is from RNAcentral. Lineage: Eukaryota; Metazoa; Chordata; Aves; Galliformes; Phasianidae.
AACAAUAUCCUGGUGCUGAGUGAGUUGCACACAGAGACUCCAGCAUCAGUGAUUUUGUUGA